GACAAACCGGNGGAAGGNGNAAAAAAAAUAAAGUCAUCAUGGCCUUUAUGACCNGGGCAACACACGUGGUACAAUGGUAAGUACAGAGGGAAGCCAACUCGCGAGAGGGAGCUAAUCCCAGAAAACUNAUNGUAGUCCGGAUUGGAGUCUGCAACUCGACUCCAUGAAGUCGGAAUCGCUAGUAAUCGCAGAUCAGCAUUGCUGCGGUGAANACGUUCCCCGGGUNUUGUACACACCGCCCGUCACACCAUGGAAGUGUAUUG
This 263-nucleotide ribosomal RNA is filed under the name uncultured bacterium. RNAcentral's name for it is "partial 16S rRNA". It matches the Rfam family "Bacterial small subunit ribosomal RNA", at positions 1157 to 1417 of the family's 1533-position model. The record is from RNAcentral.